UUACUUGUAAGGGGGCAUCUUACAGGCAAGAGGAGUUAGGUGAAUGUGAAGAGGAAGGAACUACUCUGGGCAGGGGGCUGGGGGACGCUUCGUAGAGGAGGGGGUGUUUGAGCUGGGCCUUGAAGGUCAAAAGGGUUUUGUUAGGUGGGAAAUGGGGGAAGGACAGUCUGAAAGGGUUAGGUACAUUCAAGGAGCCCAGAGAAGGUUCGUGGCUGGAGCAGACGCAUUCGUAGAGUGAAGUCAUGGGAGAGAAGAGGCUGGGAAACUAGAUUGGUUCCAACUCCUAAAGGACCACUGAAGGAGUGUGGGCUGCACGCUGGGUGCAGCAGGUGAGUUUCCUCACUUGGGUUUCACUGUCAGCAUUUUAAAAAGGCAAACUGGUUUUCUUCCUGAGAAGAAUUCAUUGAUUCACUUGUGGCCAGUAAGUCAUCUGGGCCAGAGGUUGGUGGGGAGAUGAUAGGGGUGCAAGUGUCAUCUUCAAUCACAGCAUAACUGCCCUUGCUUUCUUACCUCUCGUUUAGAUAUUUCAAUGCUUGCUCAGGUCCCCUGCGCCCUCCUUCCUUCUCCCUUCCCAGCCAUACUACUUAUGGGAUGACUUUCUCUUUGUAAAAUGACCGUUAGUCUUAUCAAAUUAAUCCCAAAGUAAUACCAUCAAUUUCCCCCUAAAAUACCAACAAGACCCCUGCUUGAAACUGCUUGUACAUUAGAGACAGAGAAGAGUCCAUGAGAAUCAACAUUUUCUGAGGACUCCAACUGUGUGCCAAGAGAGUUCCCCUGCUGGUGCCUCCUCUGUAGUAAAGGAAAGGCUCCUGGGACCACAUUAUCAUUCUCUUCACUCGAGAGAUGAGGACACUGAAAUUCAGAGAGGGGAAGUGAUUUGCCUCAGCUUGUACUAAAGAAACAUUUCAACAGAGAACCCAGUGGAAAUUAUGACAUGUUAUCUUCUCAGAGUCCUGAACUCCCAUCCCUACCUCAGAAGAGACUCCUCUGUUCACAGAAGCUAAAGGCAGUUCCUUCCCAAUGGCAACUAUGUUUGGAUGUUGGAUCUACACUUUCUCAAGCACUGUGAUCUUCAAAUACUGCCAUCCAGGGCCAUGCAGCAAACAAGCAACAGGGAAAUAUCCCACUAUGCAAUCCUAUUUUGAGAUGAUAUUUAGGAUGAGAGAACAUGCAUUAGUUACCUACCAGCUUGACAGGAAUGGAUUUCCAAAUCUGACACACCAUAGCCUGAAUUCUCACCAGUUUGCUCCUGGAAAGGCCCGCUCAUGCAUGAGCCCCUGCCACUCUUCUAAAUAAGCUUCCAGGCAUUACCUGCAUGCUGUGUUCCUGUGGUGGGAUGGCAGUAAUCUCUGCUAAGAUAAACGGGAGCUUCUGUGGAUAAAGCAUAAACGCAGUGAAGUGUGUGUGGCUGGAAGAUUUAAUGCCUCUACAGUGCUUAGAUACAAGUUGAGCUUGGAAUUCCAGAGGUAGAGCACUGCUGAUUGGAGACAUAUUAAGUAAAAUGUACUGUGGAAAUGAGAUAAAACCUUUAUUCUUGCUAAUGAUUGUCAUUGUAUGUAUUCAGGUGUCCAACAAAGGAUUUUAGAAUAAAGUGUGCCUUUAAAGUUUCCCACCUUCUUAAAGCUCCCAAUGAAUUGCAAAGGGCCUGUUUGGAAUGGACUGUAUUAAAUCUACUUCAAAUGAAAACCUUUACACUGAGUGAAAUAUGGUUCAACAAUUCUUAACACAAGGCCUUUACACUUGUGUAGCCCAUUUUGGUUUGGCCUAUCUUGUCACUAGAAUGCUGUCUGAGCUUGGAUUAUUUAUGCCCUAAGAUUUACUUAAAAUUGAAGGGAGUAUUUCCAUUCAUCAACACUAGUUUUGAUAGAUGCUUAAAAGGUGCAGUGAGGUUGAUGAUCCUGAAUACACAAAUUAUUGAUCACCACAUCAAGUUGGAUUUCCCUAAAGAUGUAUGGCUUUCUGACCUUGUGAUUUAC
Molecule: long non-coding RNA, 1976 nt
Filed under: Homo sapiens (human)
Lineage: Eukaryota; Metazoa; Chordata; Mammalia; Primates; Hominidae
Description: PREDICTED lncRNA (TCONS_00272708)
Source: RNAcentral